This is a long non-coding RNA of Halichondria panicea, 500 nucleotides long. RefSeq lists it as uncharacterized. The transcript has 3 exons. The record is from RefSeq and is a predicted model, not a curated record. Lineage: Eukaryota; Metazoa; Porifera; Demospongiae; Suberitida; Halichondriidae.
UAAAUAUUAAUUAUUGGCAUGAACAAACACUAUCAAAAUAUUAUAUAGAGCUACUAGCAUGGCUAAGAGGCUACACUAGAUCAGUGAGGAGGUGCUGCAUGAAAUUGUAGGCUACCCACUAGCUCUGGGACCUGCACAGAUUGACAUAGAAGACCCAGUAGCCAGAGUACAGCAAGGUAACAGAGAUGUGCCAGUCAUGGAGGGCAGUGAUGAUGAGUUUUCUGAUUGAGAACAGUUUGGAGAGGAGCUUGAAGAUCUGGAUAGGACAUUGACACUGCAUGAGCUGAGCACUGUUGUGAAAGUCCUACCACCAACGUCAACCUUCCUGUACAUGGCAUUGUCUGUGCGCGUGUAUGUGUAGGCGACUCCAAGGUACUCCAAAAGGGAUCCAGUGGCAGUGCAUAGUGUGACAGCAAAGUAUCAGCAGUAGCCACAGACAUCAGACACUUUUUAUAUCUAUUGUUAGUUACACAAAGAAUUAUAAUCGUUACUGAUGGUAA